RNAcentral lists this long non-coding RNA (1291 nucleotides) under Nicotiana benthamiana. RNAcentral describes it as "long non-coding RNA (NBEN_LNC038540)". Lineage: Eukaryota; Viridiplantae; Streptophyta; Magnoliopsida; Solanales; Solanaceae. The record is from RNAcentral.
CAAUACAAUAUCUUUUUCAAAAAAAUCAACCCAAAUUAGCCUCUACCCAACCCCAAACCGGGUCGAGCCGACCCAAUCCAAUACCCAAAUCCACUUCCUAACCCAAAAGACCGAACACACACAAAAAACACAUAGACGGACACAAUACAGAGAUAGACUCCUGAAGCGCAACCUUGGCUUCUUCUUUACACACAUAUACGCCUACACACAGAAGAUACAGGCUUGGAAGAGAGGACGGUGCACCUGUGAUUUCUUCUUAACAAAUCCACACAGAAUACAAAUACACACAAUCUAUACAGAACAAGAGACGAAGCCUGGAAAUUUGGAGAGGGCUGCGCAGCUGCGCAGCUUUUACAAGACCCAUCCGACGAUCUCUCUUCUUUGUUGACCAAGCGACACCUAUGGCUGAGCAACUCCGACGAAUCACCAAACAAUAAUUAAAAAUAGAACUCUGGCGUUGUGAUGUCCAAAACAGUCGUCCAAGCUCGAUCAGAUUAUAUACUGCAAAAAAAUCUGGCGAGUUUCGAGUUUGCGAUUUUGGAGCUGUAACUCUACUUCUCAUUGCACUGAAUUAAGCAUAGUUUCUCAUUGGUUUUCUCCGUCAAUUUAUCCAUUUCGAGGUAUUCUCUAGUUCUCGAUUUCGUUUCCUGUAUAGAUCUAGUAAAUCAUGUAUGUUUGUCAGUGAUCGUUGCUGGAAUAAAAUUAUAUGUUCUUCACGGUUGAAUUCAAUUGUUGUUACGGCAGAACUCCAUCACUGUCACUGCUGAUUUAUAUUCCAUUGUGAUUUCUGUUUAACAGAAUUAUUGGUAGUCAUCCUAUUUUCUAUUUUACAGAAUUGUGCAUGCAUUUUUCUCGUUGAUUGAAGAGGUUUAAUAGAUUGUGGUAAUACCUCGAGUUUAUAGGUCUUUGUCACUGGUUGAGUACAUUUAUAUACAUUAAGUUCAAAUGUGAAGCUCAAGAUUACUUGCGGUUUAUUUGAAGAUGAUUGUGUAUGAAUAUAAAGCUUAUACAGUUGCUCUAGGAUUGCAGUGAGUGUCGCUUCAGUUGUAAUUUGGGCCGUUGAUUGCAUUUCGAUGCUCGUUUUAGUUCAUUGUGACCCCUUCCAUGCCUAAGAAUGCAAAUCUGAAUUUGAAUAUUGUAGAUGUUGCUUCUACUUCGGAUAGGAUAGACGUUCAUGGAUCAAAUUUGUCGGUAUUUUAAUCAAAUCUUGUACAUGUUAGCUUCACUUGAGAUUGAUAAUAUUCCCAAGUUAAAGGCCAAAAUUUCUAGAAGCAGCCAUAUCUUUUCUCUU